UAAAAAAUGAGACCAUUAGUACAGCAAAUAGCAUCAUAAGGAAUGUAACAUGCGAUUGCAGCUUCUCAAAUGGAAAAGUUUGUCAUGUUACAAAUAUCGUUUUCACAAGUCUCAAUUUAUCUGGACUUUUACCAAGUGAAUUUGGAUUCCUUACCUAUCUGCAAGAAUUUGAUUUGUCUUACAAUUAUCUAUAUGGAUCAAUCCCAAGGAGCUUUGCUAGACUCCCUCUUGUU
Neltuma alba is the source of this 233-nucleotide long non-coding RNA. RefSeq lists it as uncharacterized. The transcript has 3 exons. The record is from RefSeq and is a predicted model, not a curated record. Lineage: Eukaryota; Viridiplantae; Streptophyta; Magnoliopsida; Fabales; Fabaceae.